UUUUAUUCCAACAUUCGGUUUCAAGUGGAAUAAGAGAAGACAACCUCUAAUAAUUCACAUUGAAAUGACGUCAAUCAAUGUAAAAAUGAAUUAAAAGAAAUUGUCAUCGACAUUGGUGUGGAGAAAAAGGUAAAUGGAAAGAUUAAAUAGUGGGAGACACCUUCAAAGUUUGUGUUAGAGAUUAUAAAAAAGGACGCUAUUCUACGUUUGAGAGACGAGACACAUACGGUUGGAACUAGAAAGCAUCUUCCUUCUCUUGUUCCUAUGGUAUCAUAAUAGGGGAAAACGUGUAAGUGCGUCUGAUGGCAGACUGCCACUUAUACCUAACCUAACCCAAGCUUUCCGGGAAACAAACUUAACCUUCCCUAGGCCAACAAAGAAUAAUGAAUAAGGACGGAGGAGGAGCUUUAUCAAGUUAUAGUCAGAUUCGGGGCUGAAGAAGCAAAAUGGGGAGAUCGGUUUAUAUGGUUUAAAUGCAUUUUUAAUAAAGCUUAGAAUGAACUUUAAUCAAAUAUA
Molecule: long non-coding RNA, 516 nt
Organism: Stomoxys calcitrans (stable fly)
Lineage: Eukaryota; Metazoa; Arthropoda; Insecta; Diptera; Muscidae
Exons: 2
Source: RefSeq, a predicted model, not a curated record